GCUUACGGCCACACCGCCUGGUUCACACGAUCUCGUUUGAUCUCGGAAGAUAAGAUAGGGUGGGCCUGGUUAGUACCUGGAUGGGAGACUGCCUGGGAAUACCAGGUGCUGUAAGCU
RNAcentral lists this ribosomal RNA (117 nucleotides) under Scophthalmus maximus (turbot). Lineage: Eukaryota; Metazoa; Chordata; Actinopteri; Pleuronectiformes; Scophthalmidae. The record is from RNAcentral.